AACGAACGCUGGCGGCAGGCCUAAUACACGCAAGUCGAACGGAUGUAGCAAUACAUUAGUGGCGCACGGGUGCGGAACACGUGGGAACAUACCCUUUGGUAAGGAAUAAUGUCUGGAAACGGACACUAAUACCUUAUAAUGACUUCGGUCCAAAGAUUUAUCGCCAAAGGAUUGGCCCGCGUCUGAUUAGGUAGUUGGUGGGGUAAUGGCCUACCAAGCCUACGAUCAGUAGCUGGUCUGAGAGGAUGAUCAGCCACACUGGAACUGAGACACGGUCCAGACUCCUACGGGAGGCAGCAGUAAGGAAUAUUGGACAAUGGGCGCAAGCCUGAUCCAGCCAUGCCGCGUGAGUGAAGAAGGCCUUGGGGUUGUAAAGCUCUUUCAAUAGUGAAGAUAAUGACGGUAGCUAUAGAAGAAGCCCCGGCUAAAUUCGUGCCAGCCGCCGCAGUAA
RNAcentral lists this ribosomal RNA (451 nucleotides) under uncultured bacterium. RNAcentral's name for it is "partial 16S ribosomal RNA". It matches the Rfam family "Bacterial small subunit ribosomal RNA", at positions 29 to 523 of the family's 1533-position model. The record is from RNAcentral.